UACGUAGGGUGCGAGCGUUGUCCGGAAUUAUUGGGCCUAAAGCAUCCGUAGCCGGUCCUACAAGUCUUCCGUUAAAUCCACCUGCUCAACAGAUGGGCUGCGGAAGAUACUAUAGGGCUAGGAGGCGGGAGAGGCAAGCGGUACUCAGUGGGUAGGGGUAAAAUCCUCUGAUCCAUUGAAGACCACCAGUGGCGAAGGCGGCUUGCCAGAACGCGCUCGACGGUGAGGGAUGAAAGCUGGGGGAGCAAACCGG
RNAcentral lists this ribosomal RNA (253 nucleotides) under uncultured bacterium. RNAcentral describes it as "partial 16S ribosomal RNA". It matches the Rfam family "Bacterial small subunit ribosomal RNA", at positions 524 to 776 of the family's 1533-position model. The record is from RNAcentral.